RNAcentral lists this RNase P RNA (303 nucleotides) under Serratia liquefaciens. RNAcentral describes it as "partial RNAase P". It matches the Rfam family "Bacterial RNase P class A", at positions 43 to 351 of the family's 367-position model. From Rfam's summary of the family: Ribonuclease P (RNase P) is a ubiquitous endoribonuclease, found in archaea, bacteria and eukarya as well as chloroplasts and mitochondria. Its best characterised activity is the generation of mature 5'-ends of tRNAs by cleaving the 5'-leader elements of precursor-tRNAs. Cellular RNase Ps are ribonucleoproteins. RNAcentral also lists the same sequence under 2 other names. The record is from RNAcentral. Lineage: Bacteria; Pseudomonadati; Pseudomonadota; Gammaproteobacteria; Enterobacterales; Yersiniaceae.
GAGGAAAGUCCGGGCUCCAUAGGGCAGGGUGCCAGGUAACGCCUGGGAGGCGCAAGCCUACGACUAGUGCAACAGAGAGCAAACCGCCGAUGGCCCGCGCAAGCGGGAUCAGGUAAGGGUGAAAGGGUGCGGUAAGAGCGCACCGCGCGACUGGCAACAGUUCGUGGCACGGUAAACUCCACCCGGAGCAAGGCCAAAUAGGGGUUCACAUGGUACGGCCCGUACUGAACCCGGGUAGGCUGCUUGAGCCAGUGAGCGAUUGCUGGCCUAGAGGAAUGACUGUCCACGACAGAACCCGGCUUA